GCCUUGUUCUUAAGAGGGCUGGUUCUUAUGCGCGGCGUAAGCGCUUAUGGUUGCCAGCAGGGCAUAAGGGAGAGCGCACAGCCUCUCUUAAGCGACGAAGCCCCUGACUACGUGAGGUUUUUUUUUUCCGGUCAUGCAAUAAAUAGUUGCUCAUAACAAACAAUGAUGAUGAUGGCGUGACGUCACGGCCAUCGGUUGACGGCAGCGUAAUCGGAGAGGCGUCCAAAUUGGGCCCAACUUGCAACACAAUGUUGCGGUUGGUGGCGAGGCAGGUACUGGAGAGGCUGAUCUGUGAGUGUACUGUCAGCGGCAGCCUGUGGACUGGAUGUUGUUGGCGACGGCGAUAGGGCCUUCAAAUUUCGCCCAUUUGGCAGAAAGUGGAUGGUGAAUUUGGUGUGGCAACUGCUGGAGAGGCAGCUCUAUCGGAGGCGUGGCAGCGGCAGCCUGUGGACUGGAUGUUGUUGGCGACGGCGAUAGGGCCUUCAAAUUUCGCCCAUUUGGCAGGAAUUGGAUGGUGAAUUUGGUGUGGCAACUGCUGGAGAGGCAGCUCUAUCGGAGGCGUGGCAGCGGCAGCCUGUGGACUGGAUGUUGUUGGCGACGGCGAUAGGGCCUUCAAAUUUCGCCCAUUUGGCAGGAAUUGGAUGGUGAAUUUGGUGUGGCAACUGCUGGAGAGGCAGCUCUAUCGGAGGCGUGGCAGCGGCAGCCUGUGGACUGGAUGUUGUUGGCGACGGCGAUAGGGCCUUCAAAUUUCGCCCAUUUGGCAGGAAUUGGAUGGUGAAUUUGGUGUGGCAACUGCUGGAGAGGCAGCUCUAUCGGAGGCGUGGCAGUGGCUGCUCUGGACCUGUGCGGUGGAUUGUCAGGAGCGUCGUCAAUAAACCCUAAAAUGUCGUCCAAUUGGCAUCAAAUGUGUGGUGUUGAUGACGGGGCAGCUGCUGGAGGGGUAGAUCUGUCGGAGGCGUGGCAGUGGUUGCUCUGGACCUGGGCGGUGAAUUGUCAGGAGAGUCGUCAAUAUAUUCUAAGAAUGUCGUCAAAUUAGCAGCAAAAGUUUGGUCUAUUUGUCGUGGCAUCUGCUGGUGGGGCAGCUCUGUCGAUGGCGUGUCAGUGGCUGCCUCAGGACCGACUUUUGGGCUCAUCAAAAGACGUCAGAGUAGAAGCUACCGUAGGCGUCCAUGAUCUCCUCCGCUAUCUCGUCGUCAAAUGAAUCGUGGUCCGUCCACAUGUCGUCGCCAUCGUCGCUGAGUGCUUCGCAGUCCAUAUCAGAGUCCUCCGAUACGGCUGCGGCGUCAGGUUGUGUAUUGGCGGCGGGUCUUGGAUGUGUUGGUGCUGCUGCUGGUGUCUGUGUUGGAGGAUUGGCCACUGCUGAGCCACU
Long non-coding RNA from Drosophila miranda, 1369 nucleotides. RefSeq lists it as uncharacterized. The record is from RefSeq and is a predicted model, not a curated record. The transcript has 8 exons. NCBI's taxonomy places the organism in Eukaryota, Metazoa, Arthropoda, Insecta, Diptera, Drosophilidae.